This 578-nucleotide long non-coding RNA is filed under the name Olea europaea (common olive). RNAcentral describes it as "long non-coding RNA (OEUR_LNC015129)". Lineage: Eukaryota; Viridiplantae; Streptophyta; Magnoliopsida; Lamiales; Oleaceae. The record is from RNAcentral.
AAAAAAAAAAAAAAAGGGCCGCAACUGGGAAAAUUAAUUAGAGAUAAAUACAUACAAGAAGAGGCGCUUGGAGGGUCAACAUUUAUAAAUACAAGCUGCUGAAAUUGGGCAGAGCUGCUGGGAAAGAAGGCAAAGAAAGAGGCUGAUUUGGCUGGUUUAUAUAUAUAUACAGCAAUUGCGGCAGAAAAUUUAAAGGAAUUGGAGACUAAUCUAUAGACAAAAAGGCAGCCAAUUGGGGGGUUAAUACACAUUGAUACACACGGAACCGAGAGGAAGAAAAACCAUAGAAAAGCUGGUUGGAAAUAAGAGAUUUCACAUUGGAUUCCAAGAAAGGCUGACGGCUGAGUUUUUUGUGCAAGUUUCUUCAAUAAUUGUGCAAGGAGCUUGAAAAUUCAAUCACUUCCUGUCGAUUUUCGGUGAUUUCCUUCCACUUUUAUUUGUUUAAUUCAACGUGAUGCUAGGCUAAAUCUUUACAUAUUUGCGCACCAUUACGACAAUAAAUUGCUUAUUCAUAGUGUUGGAAAACUCAUGAUAGGUAGAGCACUAUUAUUGGGACACACUGACAAUAAAUAUUAGGA